AUUUCUUUGGGCCGCUCCCGCGACAUAUGGAGGUUUCCAGGCUAGGGGUCUAAUUGGAGCAGUAGCCACUGGCCUACGCCAGAGCCACAGCAAUGCAGGAUCCGAGCCGUGUCUGCGACCUACACCACAGCUCACUGCAACGCCGGAUAGUUAACCCAUUGAGCAAGGGCAGGGACCGAACCUGCAACCUCAUGGUUCCUAGUCAGAUUCGUUAACCACUGCGCCACGACGGGAACUGUUGUAGGAAUAGUGGAAGGCCAGUUUGGCUGAAGUGGAGUAAGCCAGGGUGGGAAGAAUAGAAGUUGGUCAGAGUUACGGGAUGUGGCGUAGGACUCAGACCAUGCAUGACCUUGUAGUCCAUUAUAAGAACAUUUGCUUUGACUUGAAAUGUCAAGCCAUUGAAGGGCCUUGAGCAGGGGAGUAAAUAGUCUGACUUUAGUCUGAAGAGUCACUCUGGCUUCAGUGAUGAGGAUAGACAAUAAAGGGGCAAGUGUAGAAAGAGGCCACCUCUUAGGAAACCAUCCUGCAGUCAUUCAGGCAGGAGAUGAUGUAGUGAUAAAGAGGACGGUAAAUGGUCAGGUUUUGAGUGUCACCUGAAUGGGAAAUCAGUGGAUUGAAUGUGGGCUCUUAAAGAGAGGGUCAAGAAUUAUUCCAAGGGUUCAUUUUUUAAAACCAGAGCAAUGGAAGAGUGGAAAAAAGCAAGUGAGGCUUCAAGAUGGAGCAGGGGAAGGUUGUGAUGGAGGUACCUGGCUGUGGUGGUUGUAGGUGGAUCAGCUUUGCAGGAUAAACUUUAGGAGCUAGGUUUAUUAGACGAUUGAUUUCGAGAUGCUGAAAAGACAUUUAAGUAGAGUUGUCCCGGCUAUUGAAUAUACAAAGCUAGAGUUUUUGGGAGAGAAGCCUUGACCAGGAAGAAGCAAUUUUGGAGUAACCAUCUCCUAAGGACUGAAUAUUGUCCUCCACCCCCAAAUUCCUAUGUUGGAACUCUGAUUCCUAAGACUCAGAAGGUGACUGAACUUGGAGAUGGAGCCUUUCAAGAGGUGGGUAGGUACCCCUGCCCCCAGGCCCUCACUUUAACCUAAUGUGACAGAAGUGGUAUCCUUACAAGAAAAGGAAAUUGGGACACACAAGCUGACAGCAGGGGUGAACAUGCAGAGUGACCAUGUAAAGACACGAGAAGACGGCCAUCUACAAGCCAAGAAGAGGGUUAUUGAAAGACUCCAAGCAUGCCAAACACCUGGAUCUUGGACUUCUGGCCACCAGAACUGAAGUUUCUGUUGCCCAGUAUGAGGUAUUUUGUUAGAGCAGCCUUGGUCAACGAAUGCACCAUCUGAAGGGCAUUUAAAGGAUGACUGAAUGAGAUGAUCAGAGGUCUCACUCAAUGAAUCAGUAAGACCCAGGCAUUCCAGUGUUCAGAAGUGGGAAUGAGCGAAAGCUAUGGAGGCGGAACCAGCAAUCAACUAGGCGUAAAACACAGAAUGUUCUUUUUGGAGCUAUGCAAACAAAUUGUGACAUGUGGGAGAGAAUUUUCAGCUGUGAUAAAUGCUAUGGUUCUGUCAGUAAGGAAGAGGCCUGAGAACUAACAGUGCAUUUCCAAUGUGAUGAAUUGGAGUAUAUCUGAGAGCACAUCAGAGGGGGAGGUAACUACAAAAAAAAAAAAAGCUUGAGGAAUUUUUCAAUAGAGGGUCUGUGGUCGAGUUACUAGAGGGAAUGAGAUGAAAGGGGUUUGCAAGCAGCAGAGGUUUCUCAAGAAGCACAUCUAACUUGUGUUCCAGGGCCCCUUGACUUCAGGAGCUGAUCCCCUGGGAGGGGUUCCAGCAAUGUGUUCAUGGGGGCAUAUGCUUUUGCAAUAUUUGCAAACGUAGACUAUUUUGGGGCACAAUCAGUGAAAACCACUGUCUGCCAAUCUAACCUCAUCUCUGCCACACUUGCCCUUUGGUUGGAUGGCCACAGGCAUUUCUGAGGUCUGACCAAGUGAGGCUGAGUUAAGAUUAUACUGAAUUUGCGUUUAGUGAUUUGGAGUAUAGUUGACUUACAAUGUUGUAUUAGUUUCAGGUGUACAGGAAAGUGAAUCAGUUAUACAUAUAUCUAUUCUUUUCCCCCAUAUAGGGUAUUACAGAACAUUGGAUAGACCUGCAUGUGCUAUACAGUGGGUCCUUUUGUUAUGUAUUUUAUAUAUAGUAGUGUGUAUAUGCAUGUGUUAAUCCCACCCCCUCAAUUGAUCCAUCCCCCUCCCACAGUUUCUCCUUUGUUAACCAUAAGUUUAGAAAUCUGUGAGUUUGUUUUAUAAAUUUUAUUGUAUCAUUUUUAACGGGAUUCCACACAUAGGUGAUAUCAUGAUAUUUGUCUUUCUCUGAUUUACUUCAUUCAGUAUAAUCUUUAGGUUCAUCCAUGUUUCUGCAAAUGGCGUUAUUUCAUUCUUUUUCUGUGGUUGGGUAAUAUUCCAUUUUAUAUAUGUACCACAGCUUCUUGAUCCAGUUUUUUCUUGAUGGACAUUCUGGUUGCUUCCAUUUCUUGGCUAUUGUAAAUAGUGCUGCAAUGAACACUGGUGUGUAUCUAUCUUUUCAAAUUAUGGUUUUCUCUGGAUAUAUAUGCUCAGGAGUGGGAUUGCUGGGUCAUAUCAUAUGGUAGUUCUAUAUUUAGUUUUUGUUUUUUUUUUUUUUAGGGAAACUCUGUACUGUUUUCCACAGUGGUUGCACCAAUUUACAUUCUCACCAACAGUGUGGGAAGGGUUCUCUUUCCUCAACACCCUCUCUAGAAUUUAUUGUCUAGACUUUUUGAUGAGGGCAAUUCUUACUGGUUGUGAGGUGAUACCUCAUUGUACUUUACUUUGCAUUUCUCUAAUGAUUGGGGGUAUUGAACAUCUUUUCAUGGGAUUUUGUCCAUCCUUUUGUUUUCUUUGGAGAAAUCCUGUGGGAGGUGAAUCUGCCAUCACAGAAAAACAAAGGAGAAUAAUGUUGUGUUAGAGUAAGAAAGGGAAGGGAACAUUCAGAGGCUAAUUUUAGGACAGAAGGAUUUUGCUGAAAAUGGACUCGGGACACAAAGUUUUCAGGAGUGGAGGGAUGAGUGAUAAAAGGGAUAAAAUAAUGUAUGUAUGCAUACUGUUCUCUGGGACAAUAGAGUGUGAAAAAUCAAAUGACUUGGAGAGUCCUGUUAUGAAUGACUGAAAUAAUAAGGAAUAUAUGUAAUAUAUAUAUAGGCUGGUUUCUGACACAGGGCUCCUGAAACCCUUGUAAAUCUCCUAACUAGUAAGAGCACCAGGAGCAUCUUUUGUUGUCCUCUUUGGUCUUUGACCCUGUGCCUAACACAGAGCUCCUGAAUCGCUUGGAACUUGCUGGGUGACAGGAAUGUCUUUUGCUGGAAUGAGGUGACUCUGGUUGGCUCCUGGGUGAGGGCUGGUCUCCAUAAAGGCAAAAGCAUAUUUAGAAUUUGACUAAUGGUCUGAAUUAUCUGCCCACCCCUCAUUCUUCAGAGAAGGGAGAGGGUCUACAAAUGGGGUUAAUCAUUGAUUAUGCUUACAUGAGGAAGCCUGCAUAAGAAUCCCAAAAGUAUGGGAUUUGGAGAGCUUCCAGGUGGAUAGAUGAACAUUUCCAAGUACCAGGAGAGUGUCACACCCCAGCUCCACAGAGACAGAAGCUUCAGUGCUCGGAACCCUCCUAGACCUUGUCCUAUGUAUUUCUUCAUCUGGCUCUUUUUUCAUAUCCUUGAAUAAACUCAUAAACAAGUGUUUCCCUGAGUUCUGUGAGCUUCUCUAGCAAAUAAUCAAAUCCAAGCGGGUGGGGAGAUCAUGGGAACUUCAGUUAGUGGCCAAGUCAAAGUUAUGGGUAACUUAAGACUUGUCAGUGGCCUCUGAGUGGAGGACAGUCUUGUAGGCCUGAGCCCUUCAUCUAUUGGAUCUGGUGCUAUCUUCAGGGAGAUAGUGUCAGAAUUGAGUUAAAUGGCAGCACACCCAGCUGGUGUCACAGUAUUGCUUGGUGUAGGGAAAACCAAUGCACAUUUGAUGUCUGAGGUGUUGUGAGGGUGGGAAGAGUGUGAGAGUUGAGGAAAAACUGAAUUUUUUCCUACAUAGUGACAUAAACAGUGUUCCACAGGGCACAAUUAGAUCACUUUGGUGGAUUUAAGGAGUGUUUACUGGCAGAACCAGGAUUUCUGAUGACACAGUAAGUCACAUUGAUUCUUAAUCUAUCCUUGAGAUUAAUGUUAAUGUGGUCCAUGAGAACAUCCAAUUAUGUUAAAUGAUUUUGUUUCAUCACUUUGUAGAAUUUAUUGAUUGUUUUUUAAUUUGACAAGCAGUCUUAUUGAAUACUUGGAAAAUUAAUACCUAUGCCUUAAUUAUAAUGAACUAGAAAUGGCUUAAGGAUAAUCAAUGUGAUUAAUAUUUUUGACUAGUAGUGCAGAUACAUUCGUGUUAAUAAUAGGUAAACACACCAUUUCUGUAUGAUAUUAUAAACCAAUGUCAUUUAAUAAAUCCUAAAACCUUCCAGGAAAUGAAUGGUUGAAAUCGUUAGCUUAGUGCUUUUCUCUUCUGAUGAAAGCAUUCUAUGAUAAGUUAGAAAUGCUUUAGCUCUAUAGAUAAUGACUUAAAUAAAUUUCUCAAACCAUUUUAUGCUGUUUCCAAGCCUAUCAAUUGUGUG
This 4631-nucleotide long non-coding RNA is filed under the name Sus scrofa (pig). RNAcentral's name for it is "lncRNA (ENSSSCG00055027965.1)". Lineage: Eukaryota; Metazoa; Chordata; Mammalia; Artiodactyla; Suidae. The record is from RNAcentral.